Molecule: unclassified non-coding RNA, 280 nt
Filed under: Mycobacterium avium complex sp.
Lineage: Bacteria; Bacillati; Actinomycetota; Actinomycetes; Mycobacteriales; Mycobacteriaceae
Description: 16S-23S intergenic spacer region
Source: RNAcentral
AAGGAGCACCACGAAAAGCACUUCAAUUGGUGAAGUGCGAGCCGUGAGGGGUUCUCGUCUGUAGUGGACGAAAGCCGGGUGCACAACAGCAAAUGAUUGCCAGACACACUAUUGGGCCCUGAGACAACACUCGGUCGAACCGUGUGGAGUCCCUCCAUCUUGGUGGUGGGGUGUGGUGUUUGAGUAUUGGAUAGUGGUUGCGAGCAUCUAGAUGAACGCGUGGUCUUCAUGGCCGGCGUGUUCAUCGAAAUGUGUAAUUUCUUCUUUGGUUUUUGUGUGU